RNAcentral lists this small RNA (148 nucleotides) under Pongo abelii (Sumatran orangutan). RNAcentral describes it as "Metazoan signal recognition particle RNA (ENSPPYG00000035969.1)". It matches the Rfam family "Metazoan signal recognition particle RNA". Rfam says of the family: The signal recognition particle (SRP) is a universally conserved ribonucleoprotein. It is involved in the co-translational targeting of proteins to membranes. Lineage: Eukaryota; Metazoa; Chordata; Mammalia; Primates; Hominidae. The record is from Rfam by way of RNAcentral.
GCUGGGUGUGGUGGCGUGCACCUGUAAUCCCAGUUACUUGGGAGGCUGAGGCAGGAGAAUUGCUUGAACCCAGGAGGUAGAGGUUGCAGUGAGCCGAGAUUGUGCCACUGCACUCCCGCCUGGGCAACAGAGCAAGACUCUAUCUCAA